CCUACGGAGGGCAGCAGUGGGGAAUAUUGGACAAUGGGCGAAAGCCUGAUCCAGCCAUGCCGCGUGUGUGAAGAAGGCCUUCGGGUUGUAAAGCACUUUCAGUGGGGAAGAAAGCCUUGGGGCUAAUACCCUCGAGGAAGGACAUCACCCACAGAAGAAGCACCGGCUAACUCCGUGCCAGCAGCCGCGGUAAUACGGAGGGUGCGAGCGUUAAUCGGAAUUACUGGGCGUAAAGCGCGCGUAGGCGGUCUGAUAAGCCGGUUGUGAAAGCCCCGGGCUCAACCUGGGAACGGCAUCCGGAACUGUCAGGCUAGAGUGCAGGAGAGGAAGGUAGAAUUCCCGGUGUAGCGGUGAAAUGCGUAGAGAUCGGGAGGAAUACCAGUGGCGAAGGCGGCCUUCUGGACUGACACUGACGCUGAGGUGCGAAAGCGUGGGUAGCAAACAGGAUUAGAUACCCUUGUAGU
Molecule: ribosomal RNA, 464 nt
Filed under: Vreelandella stevensii
Lineage: Bacteria; Pseudomonadati; Pseudomonadota; Gammaproteobacteria; Oceanospirillales; Halomonadaceae
Description: partial 16S ribosomal RNA
Rfam family: Bacterial small subunit ribosomal RNA
Source: RNAcentral